RNAcentral lists this ribosomal RNA (251 nucleotides) under uncultured prokaryote. Its description in RNAcentral is "partial 16S rRNA". It matches the Rfam family "Bacterial small subunit ribosomal RNA", at positions 525 to 775 of the family's 1533-position model. The record is from RNAcentral.
ACGUAGGGUGCAAGCGUUAAUCGGAAUUACUGGGCGUAAAGCGUGCGCAGGCGGUUUGAAAAGUCAGCUGUGAAAGCCCCGGGCUCAACCUGGGAACUGCGGUUGAAACUCUCAAGCUAGAGUGCGUCAGAGGGGGGUGGAAUUCCACGUGUAGCAGUGAAAUGCGUAGAGAUGUGGAGGAACACCAAUGGCGAAGGCAGCCCCCUGGGAUGACACUGACGCUCAUGCACGAAAGCGUGGGGAGCAAACAG